RNAcentral lists this transfer RNA (72 nucleotides) under Ovis aries (sheep). It matches the Rfam family "tRNA". From Rfam's summary of the family: Transfer RNA (tRNA) molecules are approximately 80 nucleotides in length. Their secondary structure includes four short double-helical elements and three loops (D, anti-codon, and T loops). Lineage: Eukaryota; Metazoa; Chordata; Mammalia; Artiodactyla; Bovidae. The record is from Rfam by way of RNAcentral.
UCCCUUGUGGCUCAGCUGGUAAAGAAUCUGCCUGCAAUGCAGGAGGCCUGGGUUCAAUCCCUGGAUUGGGAA